UACAGAGGUCUCAAGCGUUGUUCGGAUUCAUUGGGCGUAAAGGGCGCGUAGGCGGCGGGGUAAGUCGGGUGUGAAAUCUCAGAGCUCAACUCUGAAAUGGCACUUGAUACUGCUCUGCUAGAGGACUGGAGAGGAGAUUGGAAUUCACGGUGUAGCAGUGAAAUGCGUAGAUAUCGUGAGGAAGACCGGUGGCGAAGGCGGGUUGCUGGGCCGACACUGACGCUGAUGCGCGAAAGCCAGGGGAGCGAACGGG
Molecule: ribosomal RNA, 253 nt
Filed under: uncultured bacterium
Lineage: Bacteria
Description: partial 16S ribosomal RNA
Rfam family: Bacterial small subunit ribosomal RNA
Source: RNAcentral